ACCAGCGACGGUGUCGUCGCCAGAGCACGGCGGAGCCGCCGUGCCGGAGUUGCGAUAUUGGCCGAAAGGGGCCCUGGGCCUAAUUUGGAAUUUUUUGGAACACGUGCAGGUAUCAGUAGUGCGUUUCAGUUCCCCGAGAAAAAAUUCAGGAAAAAUUAGGGACAGCCUGUAGGCGCACUGUGAAGCCGUGUUCGGACCCCGAAACGAGUAAGGACCCCUCACCUUAUUUCCUAUCACGGUUUUAAAGUUCAAU
Molecule: long non-coding RNA, 253 nt
Filed under: Carica papaya (papaya)
Lineage: Eukaryota; Viridiplantae; Streptophyta; Magnoliopsida; Brassicales; Caricaceae
Description: long non-coding RNA (CPAP_LNC006397)
Source: RNAcentral